RNAcentral lists this ribosomal RNA (385 nucleotides) under uncultured bacterium. RNAcentral's name for it is "bacterial SSU rRNA". It matches the Rfam family "Bacterial small subunit ribosomal RNA", at positions 28 to 412 of the family's 1533-position model. The record is from RNAcentral.
GACGAACGCUGGCGGCGUGCUUAACACAUGCAAGUCGAGCGGUAAGGCCCCUUCGGGGUACGACGAGCGGCGAACGGGUGAGUAACACGUGGGUGACCUGCCCUCAGCUCUGGGAUAAGCCCGGGAAACUGGGUCUAAUACCGGAUAUGACUCCAUGACGCAUGUUGUGGGGUGGAAAGACCUUGUGCGGCUGAGGAUGGGCCCGCGGCCUAUCAGCUUGUUGGUGGGGUGAUGGCCUACCAAGGCGACGACGGGUAGCCGGCCUGAGAGGGCGACCGGCCACACUGGGACUGAGACACGGCCCAGACUCCUACGGGAGGGCAGCAGUGGGGAAUCUUGCGCAAUGGGCGAAAGCCUGACGCAGCGACGCCGCGUGAGGGAUGAC